RNAcentral lists this long non-coding RNA (987 nucleotides) under Ovis aries (sheep). RNAcentral's name for it is "lncRNA (ENSOARG00000026616.1)". Lineage: Eukaryota; Metazoa; Chordata; Mammalia; Artiodactyla; Bovidae. The record is from RNAcentral.
AUGUCCUGUCGCAUCUUGGCCGGAGGACCGAACCCACCAGGCCCACCGCCCUGGGCCCUGGAAGAACCCAGCAGUGAGUGCAGUGGUCUGCGUGCAGGUCAGCUCAGCUGGCAGCCCUGCGGGGUGGGAAUAGGGGUCGAGGGGGCCGCAGCCAGAAGAAUAGCCCCACCAUGUCCUGUCGCAUCUUGGCCGGAGGACCGAACCCACCAGGCCCACCGCCCUGGGCCCUGGAAGAACCCAGCAGUGAGUGCAGUGGUCUGCGUGCAGGUCAGCUCAGCUGUCAGCCCCCCAGGCUGGGGGGGCGGGAGGGGGGGGAGAGAGGACCUCUGCCUCCUCCUCCUCCCCUGUGGAGGUCCCCUCUGCCCCGCGCCCAGCACCGGGCUCCCAGCACCUGAAGGAAGGGAAGGAGGAGAAACAGGCCCCGCACCCUCAUCCUUCACUCAGUCCUGCAGGCACGUGUGUCCAUCCAGCGUGGAGGCUGGACAAUGCUGCCCCAUGCUGUCCACGCCCGAGGCCCUGGAAUCUGUGAUGUGUGAUCUCUCAGAGCAACGGUGACCUCGCAGGUGUGACCAAUGGAAGGGUCUGAUGACGGGGGGAAGGGGUAUCCUGGAUGGUCGGGCGGGCCCCACAUCAUCACAGGGUCCCCAUAGGAAGGAGGCAGGAGGGUCAGCGCGAGAGAAGGAGGUGGAGCAGAGGUCAGCCAGCGACAGGGGACGCUGUGCUGCUGGCUCUGAAGACUGAGGCAGGGCCACGAGCCAAGGACUGCGGGUGCCUCUAGAGAAGACAAGGAGACAGCUCCUCCCUGGAGCCUCCGUAGGAACUGGGCCUGUGACCCCUGGAGUUCAGGACUCCUGCCUCCAGGUUGCUCGUGUUACUGUUGGGGUGACAUGUCCCAGUGGCUGCAGGAAACAAAGGUACCAGCCCACACGCCCACUCUUCCUCCCCGCCUUCAGCCCCGUCCCAGCCUGGCCCCGGAGCUUGUGGUCU